UACGGGGGGAGCAAGCGUUGUUCGGAUUUACUGGGCGUAAAGGGCGCGUAGGCGGCCACUGCAAGUCAGUUGUGAAAUCUCCGGGCUUAACUCGGAAAGGUCAACUGAUACUGCAGGGCUAGAGUGCGGAAGGGGCAACUGGAAUUCCCAGUGUAGCGGUGAAAUGCGUAGAGACUGGGAAGAACACCAGUGGCGAAGGCGGCUACCUGGACAGGUACUGACGCUGAAGCGCGAAAGCUAGGGGAGCAAACAGG
RNAcentral lists this ribosomal RNA (254 nucleotides) under uncultured prokaryote. RNAcentral's name for it is "partial 16S ribosomal RNA". It matches the Rfam family "Bacterial small subunit ribosomal RNA", at positions 524 to 776 of the family's 1533-position model. The record is from RNAcentral.